GACGAACGCUGGCGGCGCGCUUAACACAUGCAAGUCGAACGGAAAGGCCUGCUUUCCCUUGUGGAUUGCGGGUACUCGAGUGGCGAACGGGUGAGUAACACGUGAGUGAUCUGCCCCCAACUUGGGUAUAAGCCUGGGAAACUGGGUCUAAUUCCCGAUAGGACUGCAGGGUGGUGCCUGUGGUGGAAAACGAUUUUCUAGUGGUUGGGGAUGAGCUCGCGGCCUAUCAGCUUGUUGGUGGGGUAAUGGCCUACCAAGGCGGCGACGGGUAGCCGGCCUGAGAGGGUGGACGGCCACAUUGGGACUGAGAUACGGCCCAGACUCCUACGGGAGGCCGCAGUGGGGAAUAUUACACAAUGGGCGGAAGCCUGAUGCAGCGACGCCGCGUGGGGGAUGACGGCCUUCGGGCUGUAAACUCCUUUCGACCGCGAGGAAGCCACCUGGUUGGAAGGGUGGUGACGGUAGUGGUAGAAGAAGCACCGGCUAACUACGUG
This 494-nucleotide ribosomal RNA is filed under the name uncultured bacterium. RNAcentral describes it as "partial 16S ribosomal RNA". It matches the Rfam family "Bacterial small subunit ribosomal RNA", at positions 28 to 507 of the family's 1533-position model. The record is from RNAcentral.